GUCUGUCUGUUGGGGAGAGAGCUGGGUUAACAUGGCCAGGGAUCUUAAUGUCCCCAUGUGGAAGCCAAGAGAGGCAGAGAGCAAAGGGAGGGCAGGUGAGGGGAGCAAAGCCCCAGUGGGGUUGGAGUCAGCAAUUGUGGGCGGGACUGGUGAAAGGUUUGCUGGCCUCCAGAAGGUACGUGCCUCUCUGCAAGUCUGAGCUAAUCUUGGAGAUGAAGAAGGCAGUCUCUAACCAACCUUGAGAAGAAAAAAAAAAUACUCUCCAGACAGACCCAGAGAUGAUAAUUAUUGGAGAACACAGCUUCAAAGAAUGAGACUUCUAGCAGCAAAUAAGAGAGUUGGUCAGACCCUGGGAACCAAUUGGAGCAAACUACCCAUCAGUGUUGCUGACCCAAGGGGACUUGUGAGGGAACACUGAAGAGAAAAGGGAGUUCCAUUUCUUGCCAUACCUGGAAUUCUCUCUCGGGCUCCCGAAGCAGCUGAAGGCGGGAAGGAAUGUGCUGAAUUAGUCCUGGACUUGAACGCCUAAGUCUCUCCUGGGUAACUACUCCCUCUGCGUCUGACAGGGCCGGCCAUCCUGGCCCAGAAUCCCAGGCGUGCCCCCUCCUAAUCCACAGCCUCUUUUCCCCCUUUUCUUUCAACAAAUUGGAGGUAACCGGAUGCUAGGGAGGUGGGCGCUGGUGCCUCCGAUUCCUUUCUUAUUCGGGGAGCUAACUAUCCCAAGAAUGUACAGAAUCAGUUUGGAAAUAGCUGAGAAGGCAGCCCUGGCUUCUGGGGGGCGCGCGCGUGUGUGUGUGUGUGUGUGUGUGUGUGAAGAGUUGCUUUUCAUUCUCUCCCUCUCAGAGCCUGACUUCCUUUGUCUCCUUUCAAAUCCCUCUUCGUGAUCCUGGAGGCUUCCUUAUUUAAAAAAAAAAAAAAAAAAACACAUACAUACACAAAUAUAUGAUUGUAUUUUGCCUAAGGUACCGCAAGCCCCUUAAGAAUGGAUCAGGUGUAAUUAAUAACAGAAAAUAAUGUUUCCCCCUCCUUCUCUCGACCUUUCACCCUCAUAUAAGUGUCGUAAGUUUUAUGAUGGCUAAAAACAAAGUAAGUGUGUGUGUG
Antechinus flavipes (yellow-footed antechinus) is the source of this 1101-nucleotide long non-coding RNA. RefSeq lists it as uncharacterized. The record is from RefSeq and is a predicted model, not a curated record. NCBI's taxonomy places the organism in Eukaryota, Metazoa, Chordata, Mammalia, Dasyuromorphia, Dasyuridae. The transcript is spliced from 3 exons.